Molecule: small nucleolar RNA, 139 nt
Organism: Pogoniulus pusillus (Red-fronted tinkerbird)
Lineage: Eukaryota; Metazoa; Chordata; Aves; Piciformes; Lybiidae
Product: small nucleolar RNA SNORA5
Exons: 1
Source: RefSeq, a predicted model, not a curated record
UGCAGCCCUGUCAAAUUCAGUCCUUGCCUUCUCCAUGGUGAGGACUGGCCAGAUGGCUGCCACAUCACCUUCUGUGCUCCACAAGCCCCAUGUCCCCUUCCUGUGGGACCUAAGGGACAAAAUGACACCACAGACAUUG